RNAcentral lists this long non-coding RNA (476 nucleotides) under Mus pahari (shrew mouse). RNAcentral's name for it is "lncRNA (MGP_PahariEiJ_G0003658.1)". The record is from RNAcentral. Lineage: Eukaryota; Metazoa; Chordata; Mammalia; Rodentia; Muridae.
GUGUUUACAAUUACAGGUGAAACAUAUACCUUUCAUUGAUGUUCCCAUGGACACCAUAUUCAUAUCAUAGCAAAGAUCUUUGAUGUGGCAUAGCCAAGUGGCCAUCAAAAAUCUGCAACCUGGUGAAAUAUAAAAUAACCCUUUCAAAGAAAGAGCAACCGCAGGCAUACCUGAUAAAGAAGUGUGUCUAACAUACUGAUGCUGAAUACUCUUCCCGCAGCAAAAGGCAGUCGAAACAUAAAGGCCAGGUUAGAACCUCGUUCUCUUUCUUUCUGUUCAGAAUCAGAGGAAGAAGCUAUGAGCAUCUAUAUUUUAUGCAUUGCUGUGUGGACAAAUUUUCUCCGCAAAUAUUUAAAAAGGUAUUCAUAUUCAACUCUUUACAGUAAAUGUUCCCCAUCUUUGUUUAAAAUAGAUUCUUGUAUAUGUUCUUGCAAGUGUAUUGUGUAAAUGUGCUUAAAAAUAAAAUUUUAAAUAUU